RNAcentral lists this microRNA precursor (103 nucleotides) under Marmota monax (woodchuck). It matches the Rfam family "mir-562 microRNA precursor family". The record is from RNAcentral. Lineage: Eukaryota; Metazoa; Chordata; Mammalia; Rodentia; Sciuridae.
AGUACAAUUGCUGGGUCAGAUGGUAGUUGCAUGUAUUUUUUUAAAGAAACUGUCAAGCUCUUCUCCAGAAUGGCUGUACCAUUUUUACAUUCCCACCAGCAAU